Oryza sativa Japonica Group (Japanese rice) is the source of this 3185-nucleotide non-coding RNA. The record is from RefSeq and is a predicted model, not a curated record. Lineage: Eukaryota; Viridiplantae; Streptophyta; Magnoliopsida; Poales; Poaceae.
CUCUCCACCACACGAUUUCACCCUCUCCACGCGCGGUCUCCGCGCAAAGAAUACGCCUCAUCACCCUCUCAACCCGAGCCUCGCUCCUCCUCGCGUCGUCGUCUCGUCCCAUUCUGCAGCCGCCGCCGCGGCACACUGAACCGAGGCGAGGUCUUCCCCAGCCACCGCCGGAGCCGUGGUCUUCCCCAUCCGUCGCGGCCGGCAGCAGCAGGAGCCGACGUCGUCCUCAUCUGCCGCCGCCGCUGCAAUCCACCGCUACCCUCGAGGUCGUCGCCUUCUUCCGCCGCCACACACUCCGCCGUCGCCGCCACGGAUUGAACCGGAGGCGAGGUCUUCCCCAGCCUCCCACGGAGCCGAGGUCUUCUCCAUCAGCCGCGCACUCCACCGUGAUUUCUCCGCCCAUCCGCUGCUCCAUCGUGAUUUCUCCGCCGCUGCAACCUCUGCCCCACCGAUCGCACCCCAUCGCAUCGCCGGUUCCUCGCGCUUGUUGCCGAGUCCGAGUCGAUCCGAUUGGUUCCUCCGUUGAGGUUGCCCCUGCCAGGAAGGCCAAGCCGAUCCAGCAUCUGCUCCACCUACUGGCCCCUCCCCGUUCUCUGCUCCUGACACCGUCGGACAUCAACCACAGGCCACCAGCAACUGCACCUGCACCUUGAUGCUCGCAUGAUUGUGAUGACACAUAAUCUCGAUCUGCAACUCACCGUCUCCAUUUUCUCAAGCCGGAACAUUGGGGACACUCCGUAUUAUGGCAGGAGCAGCGUGGAGUCAAAGCCCUGCUCCGUAGAGGGCUCGAGGCUGCGCGGAUCUGGCCGCUUCGGCCGCCCGGCCCACUCAACCGGCUUGCCUGCACCAUGAUUGCUCUCUCAGCAAUCGCCCGGCGACUCGCUUCCUCUCUUUGAACACAGCUGGGGUGUGCGACAUGGCUAUGGUGGAGGAUCUGCCCCCACCCAGGAACCCUCUACUUUGCAGAAGCAGAAGCGUUACUUGGCAUAUAUACUUUGCAGAAGCAGAAACACAACUUGGCGGUGGCUGGUUUAUUUAGCAAUCUCUAGUUGGCUUUGAUGGCCAGUGUGGUAAUUAAUUUCAGAAAUCUCCGAUUCUUGUUGACAAAUUUUUUUUUUGCAGGUUGAACAUGGUGAUUUCAGACAUUAAUCAAUGAUGGAUUAUCUGCUUGCCUAUUCUUUCUGUUACAUCAGUUGUGGGAUGUUUUUCUGUUAAAUUAAUCUAGGUUGCUCUCUUGAUCUGGUCUAGACAGAUCCUAAGCAAAGGUUGCAAUAAGGAAAACAAAAGGAAAAGAUGAACACUGUUUACUACAGCGGAAUCUUUGUGCUCUUUAUCCAAUCUGCAGAGAUGUGGGUACCAAGGAGUUGUAUUGUUAUGAAUAUUUGACUUCUUUAUUUUUCCAGUUUAUUGAUCAUCUUACAUAUUUAAUGAUGUUAUAAUAUUUAAUGAUGAAUAUCUUAAACACAGGGAAUAGGUCCCCAUCAUAGCAAUAAGCUUAUGUAUUAUGUUUAAAAAAACAAUUCUACAUGUGUAAAGCUUUGUGAUCUUAUAAGCAACUAGAGAGGUAAAAGCACAUGGUAAACCUGGGCUCUUAUUCAUACUUUUAACAUUUUGUAUUCAUUUUAACUGUAUUUUAAGUCGCUCUUAAAAUGGUCACAUGAUUCGCUUACUCUGAAUUAUUUUGUGGAAGUUUUCAAGAAUUUGGAUGCAGCUGCUCUAGGAAUUCAUCUCGGGUGGAGGGUAAACCUUCACUGUCAUUCAAGUCAACAAUACAUUCAUUAAUUGAAAAAAUGAUUUUUUAAUCCAUUCUGAACAGUGCAGAACUUUCUGAAUUAUCUAUCGGUGUUUAGUUGUUGAUUGUUGUUUUAUUGAGGGGUAUUAUUAAAUAUCAAAGCAUAUAGUUGUAGAUAAAGAAUCAAGUUUUAUGACUUGGUUUUAGUUAUACAUAUCUUUCUUCAAAGUUCAAAAAUAAAAAUUGUAACAUCGUAUCUACCUGGCACCUUAUCUUGCAAAAGUUGAGGCUGUUUACCGUCCUUAGAAAAAAAAAUGUUCUUCAGGUAUUGGAAGUAUAACAUUUGUAUUUGAUUUUACAAUGAGGGCACGAAACUCGCUUUCUGUUGGACUCAAACUGAACCAUUUUGGUUGAUACCCUAACAUUUUGCUCUACCAUAUAACUUAUUUCACUAUUGCAACUUUAUUUCAUAAAGAAAUUUCUGGAGUUUGGUGCAUAGCUGCUUGAAGGCUUACAAUUUGUUUAGUUGUGCUUACUAUUUGAAUUUAUUAUGUUCAAAGUAGUUUCAAAAUACUAAUGAUUCUUAGUUACUUUUGGGGAAAAAUCGGUUAUGCUCAUUCAAGAAUGUAUGUCUAACAACACAUGUGAUACUCUUUUCCAAAAAUUAUACAAAUACUUAUUCAGUUUGAGAGUAUUUCAAUGUUCCUAGUUUAGUUUUCAGUUUUUUCUCCAAGCAGUUAAUUUUGUUUUUUUUAAUGCAGCUCAAAAUAUCCAUGUCAACUUGAAGUUAUUGUGGAUUGCAGAUUGUGAAAAAAUUCCAUUACCAAGCAAGGAAUCAGAGAAAGCGCUCCAUCGACGCCUUGCCGGCGGCCAUGGGAACAGCCGUCCCUGCAUCAUCAGCUGCGGCAGAAACGGCCCUGCUUAGCUUUGCCUCGCCGUCAGCCAUGGGAAAUGCUGCUGCUUCACCAAGCAAAACAAAAAAAAUGCCAUAACAUCCUCGAUGACUUAUGCACGUCGUCCGCCGCCAGAACUGAUGCUAACCUCGGAGAAGCCCAGCGCCGGGGAAGACGUGAAGACGCCGAACACCGGAGGGGACGCUGCGUGCGCGUCACUGCCGAUGAGGACCGGCACCCUUGCUGCUCUUGGUUGCUUCUCUUGCUGGAUUUUGGGCUUUGAAAAAAGCAAACGGGUUCAGUUCGGAUCUUUUAGUGCGGGCCCUAUAUAACCAGCACAUCCGACGGCCAAGAAUUCAGCUGAUAACACAAAAAUAAACAGCCGGCUGACGGAUAGCAAAUCCCAAAAUGAUACUCCCUCGGUUUCAAGUCAUAAUACGGUCUGACUUUAACUAAAGUUAAACUGUUUUAGGUUUAACUAAGUUUGUAAAAAAUUAGUAACAUUUUUAACCCAAGACAAAUUUAUUAUGAAAAUAUAUUCAAUUAUUGAUUUGAUGAAA